Molecule: ribosomal RNA, 361 nt
Filed under: uncultured bacterium
Lineage: Bacteria
Description: bacterial SSU rRNA
Rfam family: Bacterial small subunit ribosomal RNA
Source: RNAcentral
GAUGAACGCUGGCGGCGUGCUUAACACAUGCAAGUCGAACGAAGCAUUUACGACAGAUUUCUUCGGAUUGAAGUUGUUUAUGACUGAGUGGCGGACGGGUGAGUAACGCGUGGGUAACCUGCCUUGUACUGGGGGAUAGCAGCUGGAAACGGCUGGUAAUACCGCAUAAGCGCACAAUGUUGCAUGACAUGGUGUGAAAAACUCCGGUGGUAUAAGAUGGACCCGCGUCUGAUUAGCUAGUUGGUGAGAUAACAGCCCACCAAGGCGACGAUCAGUAGCCGACCUGAGAGGGUGACCGGGCCACAUUGGGGACUGAGGACACGGCCCAGGACUCCUACGGGAGGCAGCAGUGGGGAAUAUU